UGGGGAAUUUUGGACAAUGGACGCAAGUCUGAUCCAGCCAUGCCGCGUGCGGGAAGAAGGCCUUCGGGUUGUAAACUGCUUUUGUACGGAGCGAAAAGGUCUGCCCUAAUACGGUGGGCUCAUGACGGUACCGUAAGAAUAAGCACCGGCUAACUGCGUGCCAGCAGCCGCGGUAAUACGUAGGGUGCGAGCGUUAAUCGGAAUUACUGGGCGUAAAGCGUGCGCAGGCGGUUAUGUAAGACAGAUGUGAAAUCCCCGGGCUAAACCUGGGAACGGCGUUUGUGACUGCAUAACUAGAGUACGGCAGAGGGAGGUGGAAUUCCGCGUGUAGCAGUGAAAUGCGUAGAUAUGCGGAGGAACACCGAUGGCGAAGGCAGCCUCCUGGGCCAGUACUGACGCUCAUGCACGAAAGCGUGGGGAGCAAACA
RNAcentral lists this ribosomal RNA (427 nucleotides) under uncultured bacterium. RNAcentral describes it as "bacterial SSU rRNA". It matches the Rfam family "Bacterial small subunit ribosomal RNA", at positions 355 to 774 of the family's 1533-position model. The record is from RNAcentral.